This 119-nucleotide ribosomal RNA is filed under the name Sorghum bicolor (sorghum). The record is from RNAcentral. Lineage: Eukaryota; Viridiplantae; Streptophyta; Magnoliopsida; Poales; Poaceae.
GGAUGCGAUCAUACCAGCACUAAAGCACCGGAUGACUACCUAACUUUGAAGUUAAGCGUGCUUGGGCGAGAGUAGUACUAGGAUGGGUGACCUCCUGGGAAGUCCUCGUGUUGCAUUCC